UUCCCAGUCAUGGAAAAUCAUCUUCUUGUUAUUGACAAAGCUACCAUCAUUCAAUUGGUAUCAGAUUCUGACAUGGACAAGUAACAUUC
Molecule: small nucleolar RNA, 89 nt
Filed under: Peromyscus maniculatus bairdii (prairie deer mouse)
Lineage: Eukaryota; Metazoa; Chordata; Mammalia; Rodentia; Cricetidae
Description: Small nucleolar RNA SNORA24 (ENSPEMG00000006513.2)
Rfam family: Small nucleolar RNA SNORA24
About the family: ACA24 is a member of the H/ACA class of snoRNA that guide the sites of modification of uridines to pseudouridines.
Source: RNAcentral